AACAGCAACGGAAAAGAGGAAAAUGAAAAAUGGCGCUGGAGAAAUGGUUGCACUUCACAGAAGAAAGACCGAUCCCGAAGGAGACCAGCCCGAAGGAGCCAGUUUGGGGUCUUUUUCAAAACCUCGGUCGUCGUGAUUAUCCCAGGACGGGAAGGUCUACUACUGCGAGAAAUGGAAUUCUUUCGGAGGAUAACAUUUCACUUGAUCAGGGAUCAAAGUCAAUGCGUCUUAUCAAGGCCUGGUCCGCACCGCCUUGGCCACACCUCCCGGGCUCGCCUCUCCUGGUUUCCCGCGCCUCCAUCGCCUGCACCACCUCAGCUUCCAGCUUUCCUUCCAACCGUUGCCCAGUGCGUUUCUGCUGUCCCUUGGGGACCCCAAGUCCGCCAGUUCCUUGACCUUCCCAUGGCCUCCAACCGUACUGACUGUACCACUGUCUCGCUGCUAUUACCCCUUGCCAUCCUGCCUCCUCUUACCAGGCAUGGGCUCUCGGAACGCCCUGGCCCUUCUCUUUCUUUCUCUGCGGACUUGCCUGGCCAAACCCCGUGCUGGUCCAGUCCAGCUCUCAGCCAUUCUGCCCCGUCAGAGGUGCAGAAGGAGGCGGGGAAAGCGCGCGCCCUUGGGAGCUGGCUUCUCUCUGUACCCGCGAGUACCUACAUGGGCCCAGCCCCCACCUCACACACACACAGCAUCUUCCUCCUCCGUUCAUUCGCUCUGUCCCCUCCCUGGGAGACUGCACACCCCUUCCUUCCCCUCCUCCACCCCUCAG
This is a long non-coding RNA of Phyllostomus hastatus (greater spear-nosed bat), 766 nucleotides long. RefSeq lists it as uncharacterized. NCBI's taxonomy places the organism in Eukaryota, Metazoa, Chordata, Mammalia, Chiroptera, Phyllostomidae. The transcript is spliced from 3 exons. The record is from RefSeq and is a predicted model, not a curated record.